RNAcentral lists this long non-coding RNA (3200 nucleotides) under Homo sapiens (human). RNAcentral describes it as "non-protein coding lnc-CEBPB-13:11". The record is from RNAcentral. Lineage: Eukaryota; Metazoa; Chordata; Mammalia; Primates; Hominidae.
AGUGUGAGAUGACGGGACCAGAGCACGUUCCUGGCUGCAGAGGCCACAAGUCACGCUGUCUCUGAGAGUGGAAUGUCACCAUCGCCCAGGUGGGGAUUUUUGUGUGUUUUGUUCACUGCUGUACACCCAGCCCCCAGCACAGCGCCUGUCCAGGACAAGUGCCCAGUAAACACUUGGGAAGCAAUGCAAGCGUCCUCCCAGCAGCUCCUGCAAACAGACCCCCGACCCAAGCCCUUCCUUCUGCCUCCACUGCCACCACUGCUGCUCAUCUCUGCUGGCACAGAAGUCUCUUCCCUGGUCUUCCAGAAAUCCCCUCUCCACACUCAGCCAGAGGGAGCUAUUAAAACUGUGGGCCAGCCCACAUCAGUCCACAGCAAAGUCCUCUCUAAGGGAUCUCUGUUGCUUGGAGAAUAAACCCUCGGAUUCCUUCCUUGGCUCUCGGGGCCUCCUCUCUGACCUCCCUCUGUCUCCUCUCCCAGCCUUCCUCCUCACUCACCCUCCAGCCAUGCUGGCUUCCUCCUUGCUCCUGAAACAGCCUGAGGCCCACACUGCCCCGGGCCCUUUGCACUGGCUGUUUCCUCUGCCUGGAACACUUCUCCUAGGCAUCCACAGGGCUCCCUCCCACAACUCCUUCGGGUGCCCACAUGGGAAGCCAUCCCUGACCACCCCCCCGACUUCCUUCUGAGCAAGGUAGGGUCUUUCUACCUAGUCAUGAGGGCAGGGAUUUUUGUCUGUUGUGUUCUCUGUGUGCCCCCAGUGCCAUCCCAGUGCCUGGCAGAUGGUAAGUGCUCGACACACAUUGGCUGACUGCCUGAAUGAACAACUCUAUGAGCCGAUGGCAGAUAAGGACACUGAGGUCCUCUGGGGUAGGUGACCAGCCCAAGGCCACACAGCUGGUCUGAGAUUAGGCCAGGAGAGGAGCCCGGGUUGGUCACAUCCUGGAGUUGGCGUCUUGGAAACUGCAUCAGGAGAAUAACAAAGAUGAGACGCAGGCUCUAACAAGUGGAUACCAGUGACUCUCGCCCCGCCAGCCCCAGCCCUGCAGCCUUGGGCCCUUCCAGGAGUCAUGGUCUGCCUGCCUGGGGCAUUCCAGGCUUCGACCCAGGUCCUGCACUUUCUAUUUUGAGCCUCUUAGUCCUGAGGACUGUGUGUUCCCAGCAGGCGGCGCGGGCCAGAGGCUGAGCCUGGGUGUGGCUGUCACCCUAUCUGGGGCCAGAGACCCAGAUUCCCGGGCCCUUAACCUGUUGGCUGCUGAGGGCUCUGGCAUAAGCCCUGUUCCCUGCUUGAUUGUCUCCCCUUCAAGCCCCUGCCCUGGUAUCGUAUCGGCCCAUCUCACCUUGGAUUAUAUCCCUGUUUGGCCCCAUUUGAAUCCUGGCUCUGCCCCUUUCCAGCAAUGUGACCUUGGGCAAGUCACUUCAUCUCUCUGGGUCUCAGUUUCUUCAUCUGGGAAAUGGGGACAAUAAGAGUACCUGUCUCUGGCCAUGUGUGGUGACUCAUGCCUGUAACCCCAGCGCUUUGGGAAGCCGAGGCGAGAGAAUUGCUUGAGACCAGGAGUUUGAGAUCAGCCCUGGGCAACAUAGUGAGACCCCUGUCUCUACAAAAUUCUAAAAAAAUUAGCCGGGUGUGGUGGUGUGUGCCUGUAGUCCCAGCUAUUCUAGAGGCUGAGGCGGGAGGAUUGCUUGAGCCCAGGAGUUUGAGGCUGCAGUGAGCUAUGAUUAUGCCCCUGCACAUCAGCCUGGGUGAUAGAUUGAGGCCCCAUCUCUAAAAAUAACAAUACUAAUAAUAAAUAAAAAUGAAAAUGAGUACCUGUCUUCUGGGGUUGCAGAGGAGAUUCAAUGUGAUGAAAUUGAUGAGAGUGCCCUGCAGGGAGCCGGAAACUCAGGGAGCAUCGAUAAUGAGUCCCCCACCAUCAGCAGCUGGCUUAAAUAUAAAAACUGUCAUGGCCUCUGGAGAAAUGACAAGAAUUCGAAGGAGCUUCCCUGCACUGGCCACCCUACACCCUACACCCUUACUUCCUCCCCUCAACUUGCCUGGAUUUAUCGACCCCCACUACCCCACUGGUUGCCUUCUCUCCACCUGGCACAUUUCGUAUGAAUUUGCUUGUUGGUUCUUGCCUAUCUCCCCAGUAGAACAUUAGCUCCUUCAGGACAGGGACUUUUGUCUACCUUAUGCACCUAGUGCAAUGCCUGGCACACAGUCGGUGCUUAAUAAAUGUUUCUUAAAAGAACCAAUAAAUGAAUAGUGACCUCUCCGGGGAGAGGAGCCCUGAGCUCACCUCCUGCCCCCAGCCCAGGGCUCUUAGGUGCUUGUUGGUGUCAGGCCCAGGCCCCCCUCUCAUCAAGCAGCCAAUAAAACUGCCCUGGUUGGCGUUCUCAUUUCACAGAUGGAGAGACUGAGCCCAGAGAGGGAGAGUCACCUGUCUGAUGUCACACAGAGGUCAGCAUCUGGGCUGGGAUUCCAGCCCAGGACCAUGUGGGGUGGGGGGCAGUGGAUCAAUCUUUUCCUGGAGGGAGUCAAUGGUGAUGGUGGGAAUGGGUCAGGGGUGCUGGCAAGGAGGGUCCAAGGCCCCCAGGAGGGAGGGAGGCAUGGGAGAUGAGUUUGUCCCUCUUGAGUUCUGUCUCUCUCUGUGUCUCUCUGUUUCUGCCUCUUUCUGUCUCCUUGUAUUUCUCAGUCCCUGUCUUCGUCUAUACCUCUUUCUCUCUUCCUUGUGUAUCUGACCCACUGCCCAGGAGGGGAUGCAGGCAGAGACCCCUGGCUUGGGUCCUGGAGUUGGGGCCCACGAGGGGAUUGACAUCUGGGGUUGAGCUGGGAAUCUGAAGCCAGACCCUGCAGCCAGGGACAGCAUUCCAGUCUCGGCUCCACACUCCAGGGAUAGCCUUGGAACGCCAGGCAGUUCAGAGAGCCUGAGGUCUGGUCUUGGAGACCUGGGUUCCAAUCCCAGCUUUGCCACAUUCCAGCCAUGUGGCCUUGGGCCCUUAGCCUUUGUUCCUGUAAAAUGGGACCACUGAGAGCCCGAUCUCAGGGUUUUAUGAGGAGGAACGAUGAGAGGGCUGUGCUGGGCUUCCUGAAGCCCUGUGUGGCCUGGAAAGCACUCAAUAGAUGAUAACUCAGUGUAAUGAUUUCUUCUAGCAGAUGGGGAAAGCGAGAGUUAAAGAGGCCCGAUCAUUUCACUCACUCAUUCCUCAAACGUUAUUAAGCAC